Molecule: non-coding RNA, 94 nt
Filed under: unclassified sequences
Description: RT-17 RNA
Rfam family: RT-17 RNA
About the family: Bacteroidales (Bacteroidetes), Clostridiales (Firmicutes). Nearby to self- splicing intron genes
Source: Rfam by way of RNAcentral
AACCGCACCCCACGGUGAAAAAUACACUGAUAAAGAAGUGCUGGUAGACAUACACACGUAUGGCCGAAGGCAGGGACUUAGGAAAAGCAGACAA